GAUUCGUGCCAGUAAUGUCGGGAUGAGAUGGUAUCUCAUUGCGGUUUUGAUUUCUAAUUCUCUAAUGGCUGAUGAUUGUGAGAAUUUCCUCAUGUGUCUUUUAGCCACUUGAAUGUCUUCUGUGGUGAAGUGUCUGUUCAUAUCCCUUGCCCAUCUUUUAGUUGGAUGGUUUGUCUUUCUGUUGUAGAGAUUUUGGAUUUUCCAAUAGAUUUUAGAGAUAUAGACCUUUGUCGGAUUUGUCACAAGCAAAUUUUUUUUCCAAAUCUGUAGGUUCUCUUUUUACUCUUUUGGCGAACUGUUUUUAUGACCAUAAGUGUUUAAUUUUUAGAAGAUUCCAGUUAUCUAGCUUAUCUAUCUUCUGGUGCUUGUGUGUUGUUAGUUAUGGUUUAUAUGUGUUAAAACCGUGUAUUAGGGCCUCUUGCAUUGACCCUAUUUUUUCUUCUGUGAUCCAUAUAGUUUUUGGUAUUAUAUUUAGGUCUUUGAUCCAUUUUGAAUUAGUUUUUGUGUAUGGUGUGAGAUAUGAGUCCUCUUUCAUUUUUUUGCAGAUGAACAUCCAGUUUUGCCGACCUUAGUUGUUAAAAAGACUAUCUGUUCCCCAUGAUGGACUUUGGGCCUUUGCCAAAAAUCAGGUGACCGUAGGUGGAUGGAUUUAUAUCUGGGUUCUCAGUUGUGUUCCAUUGGCCAAUGUGUCUGUCGUUGUACCAGUACCAGGCUGUUUGGCUACGGUAGCUGUGUAAUAGAUUCUGAGGUCAGGUGUAGUACAAGUCUUCCUACUUUAUUGUUCUUCAGUAGUGCUUUACUUAUUCAGGGCCUCUUCUCUUUCCAUAUAAAGUUAAUGGUUAGUUUUUCCAUCUCUUUAAAUAAUGCUGUUGGUAUUUGGAUCAGGAUUGCAUUGUAUUUGUAGAUUGCUUUGGGUGAAAUUGACAUUUUCACAAUGUUGAGUCUACCUAUCUAUGAGCAUGGUAUGUAUUUCCAUUUAUGUAGAUCUCUUGGUUUCUUUUAGUAGUGUUUUAUAGUUUUCUUUGUAUAGGUCUUUUAUAUCCCAUGUUAGAUUUAUUCCUAAGUAUUUUAUUUUUUUAGGUGCUAUUAUAAAUGGUAUUGUUUCCCUGAUUUCCUUUUCAUUGUUGUCUUUAUUGGUGUUUAGAAAUCCAACUGAUUUUUUUUAUGUUUGUCUUGUAUCAUGCUGCUAUGCUGAAUUUUUCUAUUACUUCCAGUAGUUUUCUUGUGGAAUCUUUUGACUUUUCUAUGUAUAAACCCAAACCAAACCCACUGCUGUUGAGUCGAUUGCAACUCAUAGUGACCCUACAGGACAGAGUAGAACUGCUCCAUAGAGUUUCCAAGGAGUGCCUGGCGGAUCUGAACUGCUGAUGUCUCGGUUAGCAGCCAUGGCACUUAACCAUUAUGCCACCAGGGUUUCCUUUCUAUGUAUAAAUAUGUAUAUUUAUGUAUACAUAUUCUAUGUAUAGUAUCAUAUAAUUGGCAGAUAAGGACAGUUUUGCUUCAUCAUUACCAGUGUGGAUGCCCUUUAUUCCUUUUUCUUGCUUUAUUGGUCUAGCUAGGACUUCCACCACAAUGUUAAACAGGAGUGGUGAUAAAGGCCAUCCUGUUCUCAAGGGGAAUGUUUUCAGCCUCUCUUCAUUAAAAAUGAUGUUGGCUGUUGGUUUUGUAUAAAAAACCAAAACCAAACCCAGUGCCAUCAAGUCAAUUCCGACUCAUAGCGACCCUAUAGGACAGAGUAGAACUGCCCCAUAGAGUUUCCAAGGAGCGCCUGGUGGACUUGAACUGCCGACCCUUUGCUUACCAGCUGCAGCACUUAACCACUGUGCCACUAUAAAAAAAAAAAUCCCGUUAAUUAUGUUGAGGAUUUUCCCUCCUAUAAUAUCUCUUGUAUUGAGAAUUUUUUAUCAGGAGUGGGUGUUGGACUUUGUUGAAUGCCUUUUCUGUGUUGAUUGAGAUCAUCAUGUGAUUCUUUUGUUUCGUUUUUUUAAUGUGGUGGAUUACGUUGAUUGAUUUCAUAAUGUUGAACCAUCCUUGCAUACCUGGUAUGAAUCCCUACACCUAUACGAUUUAUUCCCUCUUUUAUUGUUCUGAUAUUGUUGUCAUUUACAGGUUAACCUCCCUGGUUCCCUGUCAUAAAUCUUUUAGUUUUGUUUUAUUCUUCAGAGUUCAUUACCUACGUUGGUAUCUGGCUGAUGUGGUCUUGCAUUCUAGAUACAGGCCAUUGUCUGAUGUUGUUGUUUCUCUAACCAGAGGACUCCCUUUCACAAUUCUUGUAAAUUUGAUUUGGUUUUUAGAUAUUCCCUCAAUUUCUGUUUAUCUGGAAAUGCCUUAUUUCACCAUCAUAUUUGAACAAGAGUUUUGCAGGAUAUAUUAUUCUCAGUUGGCAAUUUUUUUCUUUCAAGGUUUUAUAUAUGUCAUCCCAUUGCCUUCUUGCCUGCAUGGUUUCUGCCGAAUAAUCAGAUUAGUCUUAUUGUUACCCCUCUGUAUUUGACUUUUUGUUUUUCUCAAGCUGCUCUCAGGAUUCUUUCUUUGUCUUUGGUUUUAGCAAGUUUGAUUAUGGUAUGUCUUGGUGAUUUUCUUCUCAAGGUUUAUCCUAUAUGGAGCUCGUUGAGCUUCUUGGAUGGUCAGGUUUUCAUCUUUCAUGAUAUUAGGGAAGUUUUCUGUCAGCAAUUCUUCAAUGAUCGUCUCUGUGUUUUCCGUUUUCUGUCCCUAUUCUGGAAUUCUGUUCACUUGUAAAUUUUUGCCUUUGAUUGUGUCCCACAUUGUUCUCAGGGUUUCUUCAUUUUUCUUCAUUCUGUUUUCUGAUUUUUCCUCAAAGUGAUAGCCAAGGAUUUGUCUUCAAUUUUGCUGAUCCUGUCUUCCAUUGUUUCAAAUUUGUUUCUAAAACCUUCUAUUGCACUGUCCAUUUCUGACAUCUUGUUAUUUAUCUUUUGGAUUUCUAAUUGCUGUUUUUGUAUGAUUUUUAAUAGUGAGCUUAUUUUGACCUUUUUUUCUGUACUAUUUUCCUGAAUUCAUUAUUUUGUCUGUCUUUUAUGAUUUUGUCUAUUUUUUCCUUAUUUUUGUCUGCAUUUUCCUUCAUCUCUUGUAAAGUGCUGAAUAUUAGAGUCUUGAAUUCCCUAUUAGGUAGUUCCAGUGCCUUUUCUGCUACCAGAAGGUCAUCUGGUAUUUUAUUUUGGACACUUAUUGGAACCAUUCUGUCCUGUUUUUUUUGUAAAUAUUGUGUACUGUUUUCAGGGCAUUCAGUAAUUAUUGUCUUCAUUUUUUGAUGGUAGGUUUGUUUGUUUUGUCCUGCUUUUUUUAUUUGGUUAGGUCUGGGCAGAUGGGCUGGGUGUUCUUUGUUGUUUGUUCAUCUGAGGACAAAAUCCUUCUCACCAUCUUGUCCAGGUGGGCAGGGACAGUUGCUCAGCUAUGUAGUAGCAGGGCAGGUCCACCAGAGGGGGAGGGGCAGGAAUGGGUCGAUUGUGCCAUGUAAUGGAGCCAACAGGGUGGGACCUGGGGGCAGUGCUGGGCAGGGUGCAAUGCUCAGCAUGUGGUGCAGAUAGGCAGGAGGUAAGGAGAGAAUGUGAUGUGUGGAGCUAAUUGGGUGUGGGAAAGAAGAGAGAGAAAUAGACGCUCAUUAAAAAAAGGUGCUGAGGGACCCUGCCGUUGGAGUGGUGCAGACCCAGGGAAGCCAUGUACCAGUGGCUUUCUAGCCAGGCAAUGUGGCACAGCCCAUCAAGAAGGGGCAGAGACAGCAUACGUGUCUAGGUGGGCAGGAGAAAGGAAGGGAACAAAGGGAGAGAAAGAUAAGAAACUGGAAAAAAAAAAAAAAAGUGAGAAAAGCACAUACGGCCAGGUAGUCAGGAGGAAGGAAAGGAAGAAAGGUAUAGAAAGACAAGAAACCAAGAAAAAAAGAAAACUGCCCCACGGGAGCCCACUGAAAGUGACUCCCCAACUGAGUGGCACUGCACAGCCCAUCAAGAAGGAGCAGUGAUGUCACAUGUCCGCAUUAGCUGAUAAAAAAAAAAAAAUAGGGGACCUCUAUUCCCAUAUAGGCAAUGCUGAAACAGUAGGAUAAAUUCUAUGGUAGGGGACAUUCAGGUACUAUGGUAGUCCAGGCAGGCUUGAUGGGGAAGCCAUGCUUUCACUGAAAACUGAAAGGUAAAUAGCUCUCCAAGCAGAAGGCAAUAGAUGAGUAUUUUAGGCAGAAACAAAACACAUCCAUAGUCCCAGAGGCACCUGGGAGUUAGAAGAGAGGAAGUGAGAGAAGUUCAAGACAACUCAUACAGAAAGGAGUGAGAGAUGUGCUGGAGAUUAAGUAGUGACUAAAAUCAUGAAGGGCCCAUAAGCCAUAUGAGUAUGCAGGAGACCAGGUGAUAGGGAGUCAUUGAAGGUUCUAAGCAGUGAAGCAGUACAGGUGGAUUUUCAGUGAGAUUGCAGAUUUGGGGCACUUUAAAAUCAUUAUGUUCACACAGCUUGUUAUUUUUCUGAGGUUUACAGUUAUAUUUGACCUAUUUGCCUUAUUCCUGGCCUACACCCCUGACAUUGAUGAAGGCCCUUGUUGUUGGUUAGAUUCUGAGGAGGCAUUCACUCCUCAAGGUUCUUGGGUCUGACUUUACCUGCUUCUGACUCACAGCGAUUGAUGGCAUCAUUUUGAAGAAAGCAGAGGAUUAGAGAGAAUGGGUAAUCAUCUGGGCUUAAAAUAUUCAGUAAACCAUGAUGGAGGUGGAGCCAAGAUGGCGGAAUAUACAGAGGCUUCUCAAGCCCUCUUUACAACAAAGACCCGAACAAACAAGUGAAACGAGUAUAUUUGUGACACGCUGGGAACCCUGAGCAUCAAAGGAAAGCUUAGACAACGAACUGAGGGGCAGGGGGAAGAAGAGACCGUUCAGAAGUGGAGAGGAGCUACCGGACCUGAAUUGCGGGGACCCCUCAGGUACCAUUCCGGGAGCGGUGGCGGCAGCGCCGGGCUGAUACUAGUGUUCGGCCGCAGUUUCCUCAGGGAGAAGCAGCCAGCCACACAGGCUACUCACACCUCCGAAAUCUGAGGAGAACGGUGCUCCCAGCAAAAGUUAACUACUUGCGUAUAUUUUACCGGGCUCCCCCCUCCCCAAGCCGGAUUCAGCGGCUGAAUCCCUGGGCCCGAGAUAGACCCUGGAGAGCACCUAGAGCCAUCCUCCUGGCCUUGGAGAAGGAAUAAAUUUGCAAUUCGGGUGAAAAGGUAAUUUGCUAGCUCCUUUUUUUUUUUUUUAACCGGGAGAGCUCAGGACAGAAGCAGCUCCUGUCCAGGCAUAAACCGUCCAUCGACCUUGAGCACCUUUCCCUUCUGCAUGGACCUGUGUGGGCCUAUUUCAGGAGAAUUGGCCCUUGUUGGCAAACUCCAACCAUUUCAGCUGUGCGGUGGGAGAGGUGGGUGUUUGACAUUUGACAUUGUUUUGCCUAUUAAACAAGGUCCUCGCCUACCCACAUCAGGGACCUAAGGACUGGUAGCUCCACUCAGGUCACCCAGCCACCCACCACAGGGGUCCAAAGAUAACUGGUACCUCCCAGUCCUUCCAACCAAAAACCUUGGGUGCCCAUGGUCCCUCUGCAGAACCCACCUACUAGCACACUCUAGGGAACAGAGGCGCAUUUUCCUCAGAGACACCUGGGGGUCGGUUCUCAGCCCCCUGCCUUGUUCAGAGCGUGACCACCUGCUGCAGUCAGAUUCGGGUAUAUAUGCCAAUCACCCCUGCCCCUCUAAGACUGCAGGACAGAGCCUGUACCACACACUUGAUAUCAGCUACCUAGAAACAUGAGCUGAAUUCAUACAAGAAAACAGAAUGGACUCCUAGACUGAUAUACCUGAUAAGAGCUCUAGCCAGCUGGGGACAGGACACCAGAGCGCCAAAGGCGAAAAUAAUCAAGCUAGCUCCCUCAAGCAGCCCAUAGGGGUAUACCAAAACAAAACAAAGCAAGCAGCUACGACACAGUAAGCAAGCAUAAACUAAUACAAUAACAUAUAGAUGGCUUGGAGACAACAGUCAAUAUCAAGUCACAUAAAGAAACAGGCCAUCAUCACCUCAACAGGCUCUCAAAACAAAGAAUCCAGGGAUCUUUUAGAAGAAAGUGCAUUCCUGGAAUUACCAGAUGCAGAAUACAAGAGAUUAAUAUACAGAACCCUUCAAGACAUCAGGAAGGAAAUGAGGCAAUACGCAGAACAAGCCAAGGAACACACAGAUAAAGCAACUGAAGAAUUCAGAAAGAUUAUUCAGGAACAUAAUGAAAAGUUUAAUGAGCUGGAAAAAUCCAUACACAGACAGCAAUCAGAAAUUCAGAAGAUUAACAAUAAAAUUACAAAAUUAGAUAACUCAAUAGAAAGCCAGAGGAGCAGAAUUGAGCAAGUGGAAGCUAGAGUUUCGGAACUUGAAGAUAAAUCACUUGGCACUAAUAUAUAAGAAGAAAAAUCAGAUAAAAGAAUUUUGAAAAAAAUGAAGAAACCUUAAGAAUCAUGUGGGACUCUAUCAAGAGAAAUAAUCUAUGAGUGAUUGGAGUACCAGAACAGGUAGGGAUAACAGAAAAUACAGAGAAAAUUGUUGAGGAUUUGUUGGCAGAAAACUUCCCUGGUAUUGUGAAAGACGAGAAGAUGUCUGUUGAAGAUGCUCAUCGAACUCCAUAUAAGGUAGGUGUUACAAGAAAGUCACCAAGACAUAUUAUAAUCAAACUUGCCAAAACCAAAGAUAAACAGAGAAUUAUAAGACCAGUGAGGGAUAAACAAAAAGUCACCUAUAAAGGAGAGCCAAUAAGAAUAAGCUCGGACUACUCGGCAGAAACCAUGCAGGCAAGAAGGCAAUGGGAUGACAUAUUUAAAAAACUGAAGGAAAAAAUUGCUUGCCAAGAAUCAUAUAUCCAGCAAAACUGUCUCUUAAAUAUGAAGGUGAAAUUAAGACAUUUCCAGAUAAACACAAGUUUAGGGAAUUCAUAAAAACCAAACCAAAACUGUAAGAAAUACUAAAGGGAGUACUUUGAUUUGAAAUUCAAUAAUAUAAGGUAUCAACCCUAGACUAGAACACUGGGCAGAGCAACCAGAAGUCAACCCAGACAGGGAAAUCCAAAAAAAAAAAAAAAACCAAAGUAAAAUUAUUAAAAAAAAAAAAA
This is a long non-coding RNA of Loxodonta africana (African savanna elephant), 7116 nucleotides long. RefSeq lists it as uncharacterized. The transcript has 2 exons. The record is from RefSeq and is a predicted model, not a curated record. Lineage: Eukaryota; Metazoa; Chordata; Mammalia; Proboscidea; Elephantidae.